This 1486-nucleotide long non-coding RNA is filed under the name Cyanistes caeruleus (blue tit). Its description in RNAcentral is "lncRNA (ENSCCEG00000011588.1)". The record is from RNAcentral. Lineage: Eukaryota; Metazoa; Chordata; Aves; Passeriformes; Paridae.
AAGUGAAACACUAAAUUAGGUACUUUUAAAACCCUUCACCAUGACACUACAAACUGAGAACGAUUAUUCUGUCUUACUCACUUGUAACUUUUCUAGGUUCAAGAAAGCACUUUACUGGUAGAAAAAUGACUUCAUUUCCCAGGGUUCCUUUCCUUUUCAUUUUAUCAGAGAUUUAUGAUUUAUCAGCUUUUAUGAUGAAACAACAGCAAUGCUAAGUUGAAACUCUGGCAGCACUUUCUGCAUGGUUUGAGCCCUGUGAGCUGGUUGUUCCGUGAGGCUGCCAGUUUGCCCGGGGAGGCUGGAGCAGCAGCACUGCCAGCCAGGCUUGGACCCACACAUGAAGGCAAAGAGAAUUUAUGAAUAUUUAAAAUCUCAUUAAUUUUAACCAAAGUCCUAAAUGAUUGAUUAAAUACUCUUUUCAAAACUCCGACUGUUUAAAAAUCAAUUUGACAGUAACAUCCACGGCUCGGAAUAAAGCUGCUUGAAAAGUCGAACAUGAAAAGUAGAAAAUCACACCUAAUCAUUCUUUAUUGGUAAUACAAUUUAAGACAGAAAAUGCUUUUUACUAUUAAAUAUGGCAAGCAUGUUUUAUAAAUAUAAUUGCCAUUUUCCAGUCAUGGUUUUACACAUUGCAGUCGACAUUUAAUUUCUGUCCUUGCUUCAUAUAAGUGAAAUCUCAAGUAAAAAAACAACCACUCUCCUUUAAUGUCAUUAACCUUUUCUGAAGAAUUUAAAAAGCAAACCAUGAGAUUCUAGAGCUAACUAAGUGCUCCACAGCUGUGUGAGAGACAGUAUCACUUUCUGGUUAAGAUACAACCAUGCCAAAUUUUACAAGUGUGUGACUAGCUGCAAGCCAUGUGUUUUGUAUUACUCUUCCUAAUCAACGGGAAUGAGCUCUCACUUAGGAAAAGUUCAAAUUAUUUAAUUCAAAUUUCCUUGUUUAUCACUUGAAUCAUGAGCACAACCAGUGAUUUAAAUCACUUCAGCUGCAAAGAGUCCUUGCUGAGUGGCAGCCAGCAUCCUCCGGGCUGCGGGAUGCUGGUGGCCGAUGGAGCUGUGACACGGCGAGCUCCGGCUGGGGAGCACCGGGACAGCCACGGAUCCAGGAUUCACCUGUGGGGCCAUGUGGAGCCAGCUCCCAACCAGGCACUGGCAGACCAAGAUCCUCAUGAUGUGGUUGAAGUGCUGAAUCUGGCAGCAGUGUUAAUCAAGAGCAAGGUCAUGCAACUCAUUCAAAUAUCCAGCCAUGAUUCUCUAGUGCCCACUUGAUAUUAGAUUUUAUAUCAACUCACCUGCAGAAAUAUAUGAAAUUUGUGCAAAAAAAAAUCCAUCUUUUUAGCUCUCUUCAUUUACAGGCAUUAUUAUUUCAACAGAAUAUAAUUAGCAAAAGUGCUUCUUGUAUUUUUUGGGAACAUAAUAGUUCCAGUUACUUAGACAGAAAAAAAAUUAGAAUAAAACUAGCUAGCUAAAGAAUUGUCUGUUAAAA